UCUUAGAGGUAACAAACCCUCCUGUGGGGUUGCCUUUCAUAAGCAAACUAACCAAUUCAGAGCCCUCUCCCCACCCCCUGCUUAAUGAGCUCUUGCACUGGGGGACACUAUUCCCCUGUCCUAAUCACCUCAGGCACAGGCAGGGCAUCGAGUUAUGCAAGUGAGCCAAUCUUAAACCUGCUUAGCCUGCUCACCCUGUCUCACCCACGCUUUCCUGCAAACACCACAAAAAGGCUCUUUCAGGUGGCAGUUCGCCUCACUCUCUGUGCCUACAACCGACCUCAGAGCCCCUCCUGUGGCCUGCAUGGGUGGCUGACCUGCCCCCCUCCUCCUGGAAACUCUAAUAAACUAUCAUUUCAAUGGCAGUUGUCUCCUGAUCUGUUGGCCUCACCAUACCUAAAUAAAAAAUAAAAUCUACAUUUUAAAAGGGGCUCAUGGGCAGUGUCAGCUUCCUUCCAAGCUGGCAAAUUUGAGCAGUCUUGUCUCAGUGUUUUCAGGGGUCCGUGGUAUCUAACUGGCUCAACGCUUGGACAAAGACAUCUUAUGGAUACAAAAGGAAUCAACCCCCUCGCGAUGCUUUCAGCAUCUCAUAUGCUUAUCCUGGGAGGAUUUGGGUCUCAGGAAGGACACAUGGUUGUCUGUCUGCUGCCAGCCCAGACGACAAGGACUGCCCAGUGGUCCCACGGCAUCAGAAGCUAAAUAAAAUGGUUAUUUUAAACCACUAAACUAGGAGAACAUAGAGUUGUUGCACAACAAACAAGAGCUUCUGAAACCGCUUGAUGUCCUAAGGUUAGCAUUCCCUCAAUCUGGACUUGGAACCCCUUCCUGUGGGAGGACUAGAUGAACAUGGAACUGAGCCUGGCAGACACUGCAAAUGAGGCCCCUGCCAGCCAGGGGAAGCAUUGAUAGGCACACUGAGGGUAUGCUGAAGAAGGCAGUGAGGUCCAGCUCCAGGAAGCUGCAGCAACAUUAGGCCACUGCAGCGGACCUCAUUUUCAGAAGGAUUUUAAGCCAAAGCCCAAGGUUUAUUAUAAAGGACUUACAAAGGACAAAGACGAAGAGACACAUAGGGCAAGGUACCAGGGAAGGGGCACAGAGCUUCCAUGCCCUCCCUGGGCGCAUCACUCUACAGGAACCUCCCUGUGUUCAGCUAUCCAGAAGCUCUCCAAACUCCAUCCUCUUGGGCUUUAAUGGAAGCUUCGCAAGCCCUCAAGAUACAUGAAGCUGUGGGCCCUCAGAAACAUCUGGCUCAGCAGAAAUGACUGCAGGGUCUGCCUCUGAAGCCCAGCGUUUCUACUCCAUUUGGGAUAUUCCACACAGGAAGAGAAUUGGAAAUGCUGGAGGUAAGAGCUUUGGCAAUCGCUCUCCAAAAACCCUUGGAAACUCAAGUCAGCUUUGGCUGGGGAAGGGUACACAUUAGCUAUCUCUUCCAUACCCACCCAGUCCUUCCUGUUUCUGUUCAUUCUUCUUAUUCUUUCUAAUCCACACCUGCUCCCUCAGUCACACUUUCAGCCUCUGCCCUCUCCUGCUGACAGAGGGCUGUGAUCUCCCCUCCUCCCCAGGCUCCCCACGUCAGGCCGUCCUCCAGGAGUGGCUAUCCAUCUCUAAGGGCUUUCCGGACUGCUGCCCAGCAACUUCAACAGGCACCUCUAAUCGACGACCUCUCCUGCCUCCGCUGGUGUAGGGACGCCAGGCUUCUGAACAGCACUGCUCUCCUCAUUUGCCUUCAAGCUGGCCUAUCUUUCCUGCUGGUGGUGGUGGGCAGAGGCAAGGGUGUGGUCAGCUUUGAAAGAGAUUCCAUUCUUGGAAUAAAGUGAUCUAGCAAACAAAGUCUUCAAAAAAAAAAUACAUGAGGGGAAAAACAAUAAGCUGAACAUGAGCAGAAAACACAUUUUCUUGCAUUUGUGGUCAUCUUCUAUGAAGCACAGUAAGAAUCUUUGGAAGCCAGUCUUCAGGGCAAAAGGAUGGAGGAUGCAGCAUCAUGAGUAUCCAGAGAGUCAGGAUGAAGUUGUUCUUGGGAACUGCAGAGACAAGCAGUUCUAUAUGGUUUCAACACAAAUGGGCUAGGAAGAACCCUGGCACCGUGAGCAAUAAUAGUGUCACUACCUUUUUCUAGAGGUGGGAGACAAAAACUUAGCCAGACACAUUCAACAGUAAGACUCAACAAAGAAUCUUCAUAUUCAUGGACAGAAACUAAAUCUGCCACAUUUCUAGUAAGGUUCUUUCUUGGUUAAUUAAAUGUAUUAAUCUCUUCCAA
RNAcentral lists this long non-coding RNA (2257 nucleotides) under Homo sapiens (human). RNAcentral's name for it is "HSALNT0347296". The record is from RNAcentral. Lineage: Eukaryota; Metazoa; Chordata; Mammalia; Primates; Hominidae.